Molecule: long non-coding RNA, 600 nt
Filed under: Marmota monax (woodchuck)
Lineage: Eukaryota; Metazoa; Chordata; Mammalia; Rodentia; Sciuridae
Source: RNAcentral
NGCUGGAUGCCCAGCCUCCCCUCCAAGAGCCCCAAAGGCCCGGACACCGGACCCCAGGCAGAGCGCUGCACCCCGAGGGCUGUCCAGCGGCCGUCCCAGAAGCCAUCCAGGGGGAUUCCGAGAGCAGAGGGCCGGUGGCGACGCAGCCGGGGCUGCUUGGAGUCCCGACUUCUGCAAGACACACAGGACAGCAGGGGGAACUGGUGGCCAGGGGAGGGCAGGUGGCUUCCUUUUGUCCCGUUGUUAAUUUAUGGCCUGGCCUGCACUCUGGCCACACUCUGGUACCGUGCUGGUUCCUUGGUGGCUGGUCUGGCGGCUAAACCUGGCGUGGGGCCCCGGGGGCAGCUCUGGUUUCAGGGCUCUCUGCUCAAGUCGUGUUCUGGGGGGACAAUCAUUCUCUAGCAUCUGUGAGGGAGGUAUCGGGCUGUUGGGAAGACUGUGGCUCACCUUUGUUUUUAAAGACGGCUGUGGACAGCACACGUGCCUUAUGCUGCCAUCUUGUUCCUGGGGAGAGGAGGACACUGGGGAGGAAGCGGUACUUUGUGACGGAUAAAAGGCAUUAAAUAAAACCACGUUUACAUUUUGCAGUGGGGCAGAUGG